AUACGGGGGGUGCAAGCGUUAUUCGGAUUUAUUGGGCGUAAAGAGCGCGUAGGCGGCUUGGUAAGUCAGAUGUGAAAGCCCGGGGCUCAACCCCGGAAGUGCAUGUGAAACUAUCAGGCUUGAGUAUGGGAGAGGGAAGUGGAAUUCCUGGUGUAGAGGUGAAAUACGUAGAUAUCAGGAGGAACACCGGUGGCGAAGGCGACUUCCUGGACCAAUACUGACGCUGAGGCGCGAAGGCGUGGGGAGCAAACAGGAUUAGAUACCCCAGUAGUCC
RNAcentral lists this ribosomal RNA (274 nucleotides) under uncultured bacterium. RNAcentral describes it as "partial 16S ribosomal RNA". It matches the Rfam family "Bacterial small subunit ribosomal RNA", at positions 523 to 796 of the family's 1533-position model. The record is from RNAcentral.